RNAcentral lists this ribosomal RNA (118 nucleotides) under Cyanobacterium sp. T60_A2020_053. Lineage: Bacteria; Bacillati; Cyanobacteriota; Cyanophyceae; Chroococcales; Geminocystaceae. The record is from RNAcentral.
ACAGGUGUAUGUAGCACGGUGGAACCACUACGACCCCAUCCCGAACUCGUGGGUGAAACAUUGUAGCGGCGACGAUACUUAGGGGGUAGCCCCUCGGGACAAUAGUUCUAUGCCUGUC